This 1163-nucleotide ribosomal RNA is filed under the name Staphylococcus aureus. RNAcentral describes it as "bacterial SSU rRNA". It matches the Rfam family "Bacterial small subunit ribosomal RNA", at positions 10 to 1154 of the family's 1533-position model. The record is from RNAcentral. Lineage: Bacteria; Bacillati; Bacillota; Bacilli; Caryophanales; Staphylococcaceae.
AGUUUGAUCCUGGCUCAGGAUGAACGCUGGCGGCGUGCCUAAUACAUGCAAGUCGAGCGAACGGACGAGAAGCUUGCUUCUCUGAUGUUAGCGGCGGACGGGUGAGUAACACGUGGAUAACCUACCUAUAAGACUGGGAUAACUUCGGGAAACCGGAGCUAAUACCGGAUAAUAUUUUGAACCGCAUGGUUCAAAAGUGAAAGACGGUCUUGCUGUCACUUAUAGAUGGAUCCGCGCUGCAUUAGCUAGUUGGUAAGGUAACGGCUUACCAAGGCAACGAUGCAUAGCCGACCUGAGAGGGUGAUCGGCCACACUGGAACUGAGACACGGUCCAGACUCCUACGGGAGGCAGCAGUAGGGAAUCUUCCGCAAUGGGCGAAAGCCUGACGGAGCAACGCCGCGUGAGUGAUGAAGGUCUUCGGAUCGUAAAACUCUGUUAUUAGGGAAGAACAUAUGUGUAAGUAACUGUGCACAUCUUGACGGUACCUAAUCAGAAAGCCACGGCUAACUACGUGCCAGCAGCCGCGGUAAUACGUAGGUGGCAAGCGUUAUCCGGAAUUAUUGGGCGUAAAGCGCGCGUAGGCGGUUUUUUAAGUCUGAUGUGAAAGCCCACGGCUCAACCGUGGAGGGUCAUUGGAAACUGGAAAACUUGAGUGCAGAAGAGGAAAGUGGAAUUCCAUGUGUAGCGGUGAAAUGCGCAGAGAUAUGGAGGAACACCAGUGGCGAAGGCGACUUUCUGGUCUGUAACUGACGCUGAUGUGCGAAAGCGUGGGGAUCAAACAGGAUUAGAUACCCUGGUAGUCCACGCCGUAAACGAUGAGUGCUAAGUGUUAGGGGGUUUCCGCCCCUUAGUGCUGCAGCUAACGCAUUAAGCACUCCGCCUGGGGAGUACGACCGCAAGGUUGAAACUCAAAGGAAUUGACGGGGACCCGCACAAGCGGUGGAGCAUGUGGUUUAAUUCGAAGCAACGCGAAGAACCUUACCAAAUCUUGACAUCCUUUGACAACUCUAGAGAUAGAGCCUUCCCCUUCGGGGGACAAAGUGACAGGUGGUGCAUGGUUGUCGUCAGCUCGUGUCGUGAGAUGUUGGGUUAAGUCCCGCAACGAGCGCAACCCUUAAGCUUAGUUGCCAUCAUUAAGUUGGGCACUCUAAGUUGACUGCCG